GCCAGACUCCUACGGGAGGCAGCAGUGAGGAAUAUUGGUCAAUGGGCGGGAGCCUGAACCAGCCAAGUCGCGUGAGGGAUGACGGCCCUAUGGGUUGUAAACCUCUUUUGCCGGGGAGCAAAGUGCCGCACGUGUGCGGUUUGGAGAGUACCCGGAGAAAAAGCAUCGGCUAACUCCGUGCCAGCAGCCGCGGUAAUACGGAGGAUGCGAGCGUUAUCCGGAUUCAUUGGGCGUAAAGCGCGCGUAGGCGGCCUGUUAGGUCGGGGGUCAAAUACCGGGGCUCAACCCCGGUCCGCCCCCGAUACCGGCAGGCUUGAGUCUGGUAGGGGAAGGCGGAAUUCCCAGUGUAGCGGUGGAAUGCGCAGAUAUUGGGAAGAACACCGGCGGCGAAGGCGGCCUUCUGGGCCACGACUGACGCUGAGGCGCGAAAGCUAGGGGAGCGAACAGGAUUAGAUACCCCAGUA
Molecule: ribosomal RNA, 464 nt
Filed under: uncultured bacterium
Lineage: Bacteria
Description: bacterial SSU rRNA
Rfam family: Bacterial small subunit ribosomal RNA
Source: RNAcentral